UGAACUCAAAUUUGUAUAGAGUUGGACGUUAGCCUACAUUUGCCGCUAGGGGCGCUGUUCCAACUGCAUACUUUGAGUUA
This 80-nucleotide microRNA precursor is filed under the name Bombyx mori (domestic silkworm). RNAcentral's name for it is "mir-2807 microRNA precursor family". It matches the Rfam family "mir-2807 microRNA precursor family". The record is from Rfam by way of RNAcentral. Lineage: Eukaryota; Metazoa; Arthropoda; Insecta; Lepidoptera; Bombycidae.